RNAcentral lists this unclassified non-coding RNA (253 nucleotides) under uncultured Bacteroidota bacterium. RNAcentral describes it as "uncultured Bacteroidetes bacterium contains 16S-23S intergenic spacer region". It matches the Rfam family "Bacterial small subunit ribosomal RNA", at positions 524 to 776 of the family's 1533-position model. The record is from RNAcentral. Lineage: Bacteria; Pseudomonadati; Bacteroidota.
UACAAAGAAUGCAAGCGUUGUCCGGAAUCAUUGGGUGUAAAAGGUGUGCAGGCGGAAGUCUAAGUCAGAGGUGAAAUCUUGCCGCUUAACGGUAAAAGGGCCUUCGAAACUGGAUUUCUUGAGUUCGGAAGAGGUUGGUGGAAUUCGUGGUGUAGCGGUGAAAUGCGUAGAUAUCACGAAGAACACCGGUGGCGAAGGCGGCCAACUGGUCCGAUACUGACGCUGAGACACGAGAGCGUGGGGAGCGAACAGG